UUGGUUAAGUUAGAAAGGGCGCACGGUGGAUGCCUUGGCACUAGGAGCCGAAGAAGGACGGGACUAACACCGAUAUGCUUUGGGGAGCUGUACGUAAGCGUUGAUCCAGAGAUUUCCGAAUGGGGGAACCCACUAUCUUUAGUCGGAUAGUAUCCUUACGUGAAUACAUAGCGUGAGGAAGGCAGACCCAGGGAACUGAAACAUCUAAGUACCUGGAGGAAGAGAAAGAAAAAUCGAUUUCCUGAGUAGCGGCGAGCGAAACGGAAAGAGCCCAAACCAAGAAGCUUGCUUCUUGGGGUUGUAGGACACUCUAUACGGAGUUACAAAAGAAAGUUAUAAAUGAAGCGGUCUGGAAAGGCCCGCCAAAGACGGUAACAGCCCGGUAGUUGAAAUAGCUUUCCCUCCAGAGUGGAUCCUGAGUACGGCGGAACACGUGAAAUUCCGUCGGAAUCCGGGAGGACCAUCUCCCAAGGCUAAAUACUCCCUAGUGACCGAUAGUGAACCAGUACCGUGAGGGAAAGGUGAAAAGCACCCCGGAAGGGGAGUGAAACAGUUCCUGAAACCGUGUGCCUACAAGUAGUUAGAGCCCGUUAAUGGGUGAUAGCGUGCCUUUUGUAGAAUGAACCGGCGAGUUACGAUUUGUUGCAAGGUUAAGCGGAAAAAGCGGAGCCGUAGCGAAAGCGAGUCUGAAUAGGGCGCAUAAGUAACAGGUCGUAGACCCGAAACCAGGUGAUCUACCCAUGUCCAGGAUGAAGGUAAGGUAAUACUUACUGGAGGUCCGAACCCACGCACGUUGAAAAGUGCGGGGAUGAGGUGUGGGUAGCGGAGAAAUUCCAAUCGAACUUGGAGAUAGCUGGUUCUCUCCGAAAUAGCUUUAGGGCUAGCCUCGAGGUAAAGAGUCAUGGAGGUAGAGCACUGUUUGGACUAGGGGCCCUUCUCGGGUUACCGAAUUCAGAUAAACUCCGAAUGCCAUGUACUUAUACUCGGGAGUCAGACUGCGAGUGAUAAGAUCCGUAGUCGAAAGGGAAACAGCCCAGACCACCAGUUAAGGUCCCCAAAUAUAUGUUAAGUGGAAAAGGAUGUGGGGUUGCUUAGACAACCAGGAUGUUGGCUUAGAAGCAGCCACCAUUGAAAGAGUGCGUAAUAGCUCACUGGUCGAGUGACCCCGCGCCGAAAAUGUACCGGGGCUAAACAUAUUACCGAAACUGU
RNAcentral lists this ribosomal RNA (1209 nucleotides) under Salmonella enterica subsp. enterica serovar Enteritidis. RNAcentral describes it as "partial 23S ribosomal RNA". It matches the Rfam family "Bacterial large subunit ribosomal RNA", at positions 1 to 1203 of the family's 2925-position model. The record is from RNAcentral. Lineage: Bacteria; Pseudomonadati; Pseudomonadota; Gammaproteobacteria; Enterobacterales; Enterobacteriaceae.